UACGUAGGGGGCAAGCGUUGUCCGGAAUCAUUGGGCGUAAAGAGCGCGUAGGCGGCCCUGUAAGUCCGCUGUGAAAGUCAAGGGCUCAACCCUUGAAUGCCGGUGGAUACUGCAGGGCUAGAGUCCGGAAGAGGCGAGUGGAAUUCCUGGUGUAGCGGUGAAAUGCGCAGAUAUCAGGAAGAACACCGGUGGCGAAAGCGUUCUGCUAGACCUGUACUGACACUGAGGGACGAAAGCUAGGGGAGCGAAUGGG
Molecule: ribosomal RNA, 253 nt
Filed under: uncultured bacterium
Lineage: Bacteria
Description: partial 16S ribosomal RNA
Rfam family: Bacterial small subunit ribosomal RNA
Source: RNAcentral